ACAACAGUGGACACACAGUUUAACAUGAUGGACUAUAGGACAGGACUGCUGCUGUUAACUAUCUGCUGGGCAGGUGUUGAUGGUCAGACUCUGACUCAGUCUGAACCAGUCAUUAAAAGGCCUGGAGAAUCUCACAAAUUGACCUGUACAGCCUCUGGAUUUUCACUCAGUAGCCACUGGAUGCACUGGGUCAGACAGGGUCCAGGAAAAGGACUGGAGUGGAUCGCUGCUGAUGCUAAUGAUGGCAGCAGCAAAUACUACUCUCAGUCAGUUCAAGGCCGGUUCACCAUUUCCAGAGACAACAGCAGACAGCAGCUGUAUCUGCAGAUGAACAGUCUGAAGACUGAAGAUUCUGCUGUUUAUUACUCAGCUGUUACUUACUAA
This is a non-coding RNA of Plectropomus leopardus (leopard coralgrouper), 384 nucleotides long. The record is from the annotation of a RefSeq genome assembly. Lineage: Eukaryota; Metazoa; Chordata; Actinopteri; Perciformes; Serranidae.